GAUGAACGCUGGCGGCGUGCCUAAUACAUGCAAGUCGAGCGAACAGACGAGGAGCUUGCUCCUCUGACGUUAGCGGCGGACGGGUGAGUAACACGUGGAUAACCUACCUAUAAGACGGGGAUAACUUCGGGAAACCGGAGCUAAUGCCGGAUAAUAUAUUGAACCGCAUGGUUCAAUAGUGAAAGACGGUUUUGCUGUCACUUAUAGAUGGAUCCGCGCCGCAUUAGCUAGUUGGUAAGGUAACGGCUUACCAAGGCAACGAUGCGUAGCCGACCUGAGAGGGUGAUCGGCCACACUGGAACUGAGACACGGUCCAGACUCCUACGGGAGGCAGCAGUAGGGAAUCUUCCGCAAUGGGCGAAAGCCUGACGGAGCAUCGCCGCGUGAGUGAUGAAGGUCUUCGGAUCGUAAAACUCUGUUAUUAGGGAAGAACAAAUGUGUAAGUAACUAUGCACGUCUUGACGGUACCUAAUCAGAAAGCCACGGCUAACUACGUG
This 497-nucleotide ribosomal RNA is filed under the name uncultured bacterium. RNAcentral's name for it is "partial 16S ribosomal RNA". It matches the Rfam family "Bacterial small subunit ribosomal RNA", at positions 28 to 507 of the family's 1533-position model. The record is from RNAcentral.